This is a long non-coding RNA of Mytilus californianus (California mussel), 709 nucleotides long. RefSeq lists it as uncharacterized. The transcript is spliced from 3 exons. Lineage: Eukaryota; Metazoa; Mollusca; Bivalvia; Mytilida; Mytilidae. The record is from RefSeq and is a predicted model, not a curated record.
GAACCAUUGAAUGGAAUGAAACCAAACAUGGCAUGAAUGUUUCUUAUGAGGUGCUGACUGAGUGUUGUUACUUUGAAGCCGAUCCAUAAUCCAAGAUGGCCGCCAGCAGGGGACUUAGUUUAACAUAGGACCCUAUGGGAAAUACAUACAAAUGUCUUCUUUUAGAGAACCACUGAAUGGAAUGAAACCAAACAUGGUAUGAAUGUUUCUUAUGAGGUGCUGACCGAGUGUUGUUACUUUGAAGCCGAUCCAUAAUCCAAGAUGGCCGCCAGCGGGGGACUUAGUUUAUCAUGGGACCCUAUGGGAAAUACAUACAAAUGUCUUCUUUUAGAGAACCACUGAAUGGAAUAACACCAAACAUGGCAUGAAUGUUCCUUAUGAGGUGCUGACCGAGUGUUGUUACUUUGAAGCUGAUCCAUAAUCCAAGAUGGCUGCCAUGCAGGGGACUUAGUUUAACAUGGGACCCUAUGAGAAAUACAUACAAAUGUCUUCUUUUAGAGAACCACUGAAUGGAAUGAAACCAAACAUGGCAUGAAUGUUCCUUAUGAGGUGCUGACCGAGUGUUGUUACUUUGAAGCUGAUCCAUAAUCCAAGAUGGCCGCCAGCGGGGGACUUAGUUUAACAUGGGACCCUGAGGGAAAUACAUACAAACGUCUUCUUUUAGAGAACCACUGAAUGGAAUGAAACCAAACAUGGCAAGAAUGUUCCG